GAUGAACGCUAGCGGCAGGCUUAAUACAUGCAAGUCGAGGGGCAGCACGACUGUAGCAAUACAGUCGCUGGCGACCGGCAAACGGGUGCCGAACACGUACGCAACUUACCCUGAACUGGGGGAUAGCCCGGGGAAAUCCGGAUUCAUACUCCGUAAUAUUAUGGAGUGGCAUCACUUGAUUAUUAAAGCUCCGUCGGUUCGGGAUGGGCGUUCGUCUGCUUAGGUGGUUGGUUGUGGCAACGGCUCACCAAGCCUACGAGCAGUAACUGGUGGGAGGGCACGACCAGUCAGACGGGCACUGGGACCCGGGCCCGACUGCUACGGGAGGGAGCAGUAAGGAAUAUAGGGCGGUGGAGGCAACUCUAACCCUGCCAUGCCGGGUGAAGGAUGAAGGCCCUCGGGAUUGUAGUCUUCUUUUGUAGAAGACGAAUCCUGUGUAAUCUUGCGCGGUUGACGGUACCGGAAGAAUAAGCACCGGCUAACUACGUG
RNAcentral lists this ribosomal RNA (489 nucleotides) under uncultured bacterium. Its description in RNAcentral is "partial 16S ribosomal RNA". It matches the Rfam family "Bacterial small subunit ribosomal RNA", at positions 28 to 507 of the family's 1533-position model. The record is from RNAcentral.